RNAcentral lists this ribosomal RNA (468 nucleotides) under uncultured bacterium. RNAcentral's name for it is "partial 16S ribosomal RNA". It matches the Rfam family "Bacterial small subunit ribosomal RNA", at positions 28 to 507 of the family's 1533-position model. The record is from RNAcentral.
GACGAACGCUGGCGGCGUGCUUAACACAUGCAAGUCGAACGGAAAGGCCCUGCUUUUGUGGGGUGCUCGAGUGGCGAACGGGUGAGUAACACGUGAGUAACCUGCCCUUGGCUUUGGGAUAACUUCAGGAAACUGGGGCUAAUACCGGAUAGGAGCUCCUGCUGCAUGGUGGGGGUUGGAAAGUUUCGGCGGUUGGGGAUGGACUCGCGGCUUAUCAGCUUGUUGGUGGGGUAGUGGCUUACCAAGGCUUUGACGGGUAGCCGGCCUGAGAGGGUGACCGGCCACAUUGGGACUGAGAUACGGCCCAGACUCCUACGGGAGGCAGCAGUGGGGAAUAUUGCACAAUGGGCGGAAGCCUGAUGCGGCAACGCCGCGUGCGGGAUGACGGCCUUCGGGUUGUAAACCGCUUUCGCCUGUGACGAAGCGUGAGUGACGGUAAUGGGUAAAGAAGCACCGGCUAACUACGUG